Molecule: ribosomal RNA, 259 nt
Filed under: Escherichia coli
Lineage: Bacteria; Pseudomonadati; Pseudomonadota; Gammaproteobacteria; Enterobacterales; Enterobacteriaceae
Description: partial 23S ribosomal RNA
Rfam family: Bacterial large subunit ribosomal RNA
Source: RNAcentral
GACAGCCAGGAUGUUGGCUUAGAAGCAGCCAUCAUUUAAAGAAAGCGUAAUAGCUCACUGGUCGAGUCGGCCUGCGCGGAAGAUGUAACGGGGCUAAACCAUGCACCGAAGCUGCGGCAGCGACGCUUAUGCGUUGUUGGGUAGGGGAGCGUUCUGUAAGCCUGCGAAGGUGUGCUGUGAGGCAUGCUGGAGGUAUCAGAAGUGCGAAUGCUGACAUAAGUAACGAUAAAGCGGGUGAAAAGCCCGCUCGCCGGAAGAC